This 447-nucleotide ribosomal RNA is filed under the name Stenotrophomonas sp. R-43614. RNAcentral's name for it is "bacterial SSU rRNA". It matches the Rfam family "Bacterial small subunit ribosomal RNA", at positions 29 to 467 of the family's 1533-position model. The record is from RNAcentral. Lineage: Bacteria; Pseudomonadati; Pseudomonadota; Gammaproteobacteria; Lysobacterales; Lysobacteraceae.
AGUGAACGCUGGCGGUAGGCCUAACACAUGCAAGUCGAACGGCAGCACAGUAAGAGCUUGCUCUUAUGGGUGGCGAGUGGCGGACGGGUGAGGAAUACAUCGGAAUCUACUUUUUCGUGGGGGAUAACGUAGGGAAACUUACGCUAAUACCGCAUACGACCUACGGGUGAAAGCAGGGGAUCUUCGGACCUUGCGCGAUUGAAUGAGCCGAUGUCGGAUUAGCUAGUUGGCGGGGUAAAGGCCCACCAAGGCGACGAUCCGUAGCUGGUCUGAGAGGAUGAUCAGCCACACUGGAACUGAGACACGGUCCAGACUCCUACGGGAGGCAGCAGUGGGGAAUAUUGGACAAUGGGCGCAAGCCUGAUCCAGCCAUACCGCGUGGGUGAAGAAGGCCUUCGGGUUGUAAAGCCCUUUUGUUGGGAAAGAAAUCCAGCCGGUUAAUACCUG